CAUGGAGGGUGAGAAUCCCGUUCGGUUGAUCAUUUGCGUUUUACGAUACGCUCUCUAAGAGUCAAGUUGUUUGGGAUUGCAGCUUAAAAUGGGAGGUAAAUUUCUCCUAAGGCUAAAUAACGGCGAGAGACCGAUAGUGAACAAGUACCGUGAGGGAAAGAUGAAAAGAACUUUGAAAAGAGAGUUAAACAGUACGUGAAAUUGUUGAAAGGGAAACGAUUGAAGCCAGUCGUACCUUCGGGUAAUCAGCCUUUUGGGUGUGAUUUUGUGGAGCGUGAAGAGUUAAACGCCUUCAUGCCUGCAUAUUCGUGCACUUUGGGUGUACUUGCCCGUAUGGUUGGUUAACAUCAAUUUUGGUGGUCAUAAAAUGACUGGAGGAAUGUAGCUUCGAUCUUGUAUUGAAGUGUUAUAGCCUUCGGUAGAUGUGAUGAUCGAGAUUGAGGAUUGCAACGGAUACCCUUCGGGGCUACCUGUCUGGUCUCUGAUCGUUGCUCUGGUGCCGAAAGCUUGCUUACGGUUAUCAAAGUCGAUGGUCAAUAGGUUAGAACGGGUUAAAUUCGUUAAGGAUGUUGACGUAAUGG
RNAcentral lists this ribosomal RNA (581 nucleotides) under uncultured Rhizophagus. RNAcentral describes it as "LSU rRNA". It matches the Rfam family "Eukaryotic large subunit ribosomal RNA", at positions 204 to 637 of the family's 3401-position model. Lineage: Eukaryota; Fungi; Glomeromycota; Glomeromycetes; Glomerales; Glomeraceae. The record is from RNAcentral.